RNAcentral lists this ribosomal RNA (2207 nucleotides) under Pseudomonas aeruginosa. Its description in RNAcentral is "bacterial LSU rRNA". It matches the Rfam family "Bacterial large subunit ribosomal RNA", at positions 14 to 2259 of the family's 2925-position model. Lineage: Bacteria; Pseudomonadati; Pseudomonadota; Gammaproteobacteria; Pseudomonadales; Pseudomonadaceae. The record is from RNAcentral.
AGCGCAUACGGUGGAUGCCUUGGCAGUCAGAGGCGAUGAAAGACGUGGUAGCCUGCGAAAAGCUUCGGGGAGUCGGCAAACAGACUUUGAUCCGGAGAUCUCUGAAUGGGGGAACCCACCUAGGAUAACCUAGGUAUCUUGUACUGAAUCCAUAGGUGCAAGAGGCGAACCAGGGGAACUGAAACAUCUAAGUACCCUGAGGAAAAGAAAUCAACCGAGAUUCCCUUAGUAGUGGCGAGCGAACGGGGAUUAGCCCUUAAGCUUCAUUGAUUUUAGCGGAACGCUCUGGAAAGUGCGGCCAUAGUGGGUGAUAGCCCCGUACGCGAAAGGAUCUUUGAAGUGAAAUCGAGUAGGACGGAGCACGAGAAACUUUGUCUGAACAUGGGGGGACCAUCCUCCAAGGCUAAAUACUACUGACUGACCGAUAGUGAACCAGUACCGUGAGGGAAAGGCGAAAAGAACCCCGGAGAGGGGAGUGAAAUAGAACCUGAAACCGUAUGCGUACAAGCAGUGGGAGCCUACUUGUUAGGUGACUGCGUACCUUUUGUAUAAUGGGUCAGCGACUUAUAUUCAGUGGCAAGCUUAACCGUAUAGGGUAGGCGUAGCGAAAGCGAGUCUUAAUAGGGCGUUUAGUCGCUGGGUAUAGACCCGAAACCGGGCGAUCUAUCCAUGAGCAGGUUGAAGGUUAGGUAACACUGACUGGAGGACCGAACCCACUCCCGUUGAAAAGGUAGGGGAUGACUUGUGGAUCGGAGUGAAAGGCUAAUCAAGCUCGGAGAUAGCUGGUUCUCCUCGAAAGCUAUUUAGGUAGCGCCUCAUGUAUCACUCUGGGGGGUAGAGCACUGUUUCGGCUAGGGGGUCAUCCCGACUUACCAAACCGAUGCAAACUCCGAAUACCCAGAAGUGCCGAGCAUGGGAGACACACGGCGGGUGCUAACGUCCGUCGUGAAAAGGGAAACAACCCAGACCGCCAGCUAAGGUCCCAAAGUUGUGGUUAAGUGGUAAACGAUGUGGGAAGGCUUAGACAGCUAGGAGGUUGGCUUAGAAGCAGCCACCCUUUAAAGAAAGCGUAAUAGCUCACUAGUCGAGUCGGCCUGCGCGGAAGAUGUAACGGGGCUCAAACCACACACCGAAGCUGCGGGUGUCACGCAAGUGACGCGGUAGAGGAGCGUUCUGUAAGCCUGUGAAGGUGAGUUGAGAAGCUUGCUGGAGGUAUCAGAAGUGCGAAUGCUGACAUGAGUAACGACAAUGGGUGUGAAAAACACCCACGCCGAAAGACCAAGGGUUCCUGCGCAACGUUAAUCGACGCAGGGUUAGUCGGUUCCUAAGGCGAGGCUGAAAAGCGUAGUCGAUGGGAAACAGGUUAAUAUUCCUGUACUUCUGGUUACUGCGAUGGAGGGACGGAGAAGGCUAGGCCAGCUUGGCGUUGGUUGUCCAAGUUUAAGGUGGUAGGCUGAAAUCUUAGGUAAAUCCGGGGUUUCAAGGCCGAGAGCUGAUGACGAGUCGUCUUUUAGAUGACGAAGUGGUUGAUGCCAUGCUUCCAAGAAAAGCUUCUAAGCUUCAGGUAACCAGGAACCGUACCCCAAACCGACACAGGUGGUCGGGUAGAGAAUACCAAGGCGCUUGAGAGAACUCGGGUGAAGGAACUAGGCAAAAUGGCACCGUAACUUCGGGAGAAGGUGCGCCGGCUAGGGUGAAGGAUUUACUCCGUAAGCUCUGGCUGGUCGAAGAUACCAGGCCGCUGCGACUGUUUAUUAAAAACACAGCACUCUGCAAACACGAAAGUGGACGUAUAGGGUGUGACGCCUGCCCGGUGCCGGAAGGUUAAUUGAUGGGGUUAGCGCAAGCGAAGCUCUUGAUCGAAGCCCCGGUAAACGGCGGCCGUAACUAUAACGGUCCUAAGGUAGCGAAAUUCCUUGUCGGGUAAGUUCCGACCUGCACGAAUGGCGUAACGAUGGCGGCGCUGUCUCCACCCGAGACUCAGUGAAAUUGAAAUCGCUGUGAAGAUGCAGUGUAUCCGCGGCUAGACGGAAAGACCCCGUGAACCUUUACUGUAGCUUUGCACUGGACUUUGAGCCUGCUUGUGUAGGAUAGGUGGGAGGCUUUGAAGCGUGGACGCCAGUUCGCGUGGAGCCAUCCUUGAAAUACCACCCUGGCAUGCUUGAGGUUCUAACUCUGGUCCGUAAUCCGGAUCGAGGACAGUGUAU